CGUUACCAAAACCGUCUAAAACGAUCUCGAUUCCUCUCACUCUUCUUCUGCAACGAACAAGAAGCAGCGGCUUCAGCCUCUCACUCUCUAGAAUUUUCUCUCUCUGCAAGUCUCGCUUUCCUCUCUCUCCAGCUUCACCUCUCCGGGAGCAACUCAAGGAGCAACUUUUUAUGGGGUCAGGGUUGCUGCGACUGUCAGUUGAGCUUGAAGUUUGAGGAUGCGAGCUGUGGUUUAGGGGUUAUAAUUGUAAGUUAGAGUUUUUUGUAUUUUGAGGAUGGGUUCUGCUUGUUGUGUUGCUGCUAGAGACAAGACUGUAACAAACAGAGCUAAUAGCGAAAUUGUGCAUCGUAAUAUGCGGUACUCACCAACUUGGAGCUUUCGGUGGGAUAACCGGGUGGGGGUGGCAGCUGAAGAGACCUCUGUAAGUUGGUUUUCUGAUGGUGUUAGCAGAAAUGAUGGAUCAGAAGUUAAAUUUGAGUCGGCAUGUGUAUCUGAGGAGGGAAGUCCACUGGAACAUUUUCGAAGACAUACGGCGCAAAAAUCUUCAGUAUCUGAGGGAACUGCCGGGCAUGUCCGGACUCCUGCUUCAGAUCAAUCCAUUUCAAGAAAUAUUUCCAUGGAUGCAAGUCUUGAGCAGGUAAAAGAGUCAGAAGAGUCCCCUACUGUUUCAUAUCCAUCCCCAACAAAAUUAUCAAUUUCGUUGCCUUCUACUUCAUCCUUGUCGGCAUCCCCUUUGUCAUCCCAGAGUCACCUGCCUCCUCCGAGCUCAACUCCAUUGAGGUGGCCCCGCUGUUCUCCAGGACAUCAGCUAUUAAGGCAAGUAUCUGAUGGCCGAGUCCCAGGAAACAAGUCACCCAACAGCUUCUCAAUUUCUGAAGAUAAGGCAAGGCCUCCCUCAUGGAGCAAUGAAUCUGCUAGGGGCUCCCGUGGUGGUUCUUCUGAUAGUUGGUCUAUGAAUGCAUUUUCCGAGCUCAUGGCCACAUCUAAUAGAGAAAGGUGGUCUUUUGAUAGCGAGUCCUUUGGCUUUAAUCGUGAAAAGAUAACUAGAUCCAGUAGCAGAGUUUCAGCUUCACCCUCUGUUGAUUCGCAGACGUGUGGGGUUUGCUCAAAGCUUUUGGGUGAGAAAUCUUCAUGGAGCAGCCAAAAGAUUAUUGCAACCAAUGAGCUUUCUGUGGUUUCAGUGUUAAUUUGUGGACAUGUUUAUCAUGCCGAGUGUUUGGAGAAUAUGACACCUGAAAUUAACAAGUAUGACCCAGCUUGCCCAGUUUGUACUUUUGGGGAGAAACAGAUCCACAAGUUGUCCGAAAAAGCAUUGAAAGCUGAAAUGGAUUUGAAGGCUAGAAACAAGAGAUCGAGGAACCGGGUGUUAGAUCUUGAUGGUGAUUCUGCUGUGUUUGAUCGCUUGAAAAGCAUUGGACAUCAAGGAAAGGAUCCGAAGUUGGGAUCCAGUUCCAGCAUGAAAAGCUCCUUGGGAAAGCCUUUUUUGAGACGGCGCUUCUCAUUUGGCUCCAAGAGCACUCGAGCCCUAUCGGAGAAUCAUUCUACUAGAAAGAAAGGGUUCUUCUGGGCCAAAUCCAGCAAGAUGUGAGCUCCCACUAAGAUGUUUGGGAGAUUCCGGUCUUGGUUCUACUUUUGCAAUCUCAGUUGGGCAAAAGGAUUGGGAAGAGUGCAUUUAUCAAGACAUUGUAAACAUCUGCACAACAGCAUCUUGACAUUCGACAAGUAAUUUUUUUUUGCAGGUGCUGCCCAUUUUAGUUGCCAGAUCUUUCUGUAAGUUUUGCCGUUUCGGAUGGUGACGGCGCAAUGGUGUGGAGCGAAGUAACAUGUACACGGUAAAGUGGUGAAAGUAGCGGGCAUGGUUGAGCUUUAUAAUCGAGUGUUGUUGGUCUGAACUUGUCCGUGCUGUUUCGGGUUAUAGCACGUAGUCGGGGGUGUGGUUUUAGGAUUUAGAGAACAUGUUGAGGAAUUGGAAUAUUACUUGAUUUUACAACUUAGCACUCCGUCAUCAUUAAAUUCACAGUUUUGCAACGUA
RNA transcript from Pyrus x bretschneideri (Chinese white pear), 2032 nucleotides. RefSeq lists it as uncharacterized. The transcript has 6 exons. NCBI's taxonomy places the organism in Eukaryota, Viridiplantae, Streptophyta, Magnoliopsida, Rosales, Rosaceae. The record is from RefSeq and is a predicted model, not a curated record.